GGCCUUGUAGUGAAAUUCAUAGUGAGUUGCAAGCUCAUUGAUGUGCAUUGAUCUGCACCGAGGUCU
RNAcentral lists this transfer RNA (66 nucleotides) under Minla ignotincta (red-tailed minla). RNAcentral's name for it is "tRNA-Cys". The record is from RNAcentral. Lineage: Eukaryota; Metazoa; Chordata; Aves; Passeriformes; Leiothrichidae.